Molecule: ribosomal RNA, 795 nt
Filed under: uncultured bacterium
Lineage: Bacteria
Description: bacterial SSU rRNA
Rfam family: Bacterial small subunit ribosomal RNA
Source: RNAcentral
UCGAACGCGUCUUGGUUAUUGAUGUUAAGUGCUUGCAUUUAAUUGACUUUACAUUGAGACGAGUGGCGAACUGGUGAGUAACACGUGGGUAACCUGCCCUUGAAGUAGGGGAUAACACUUGGAAACAGGUGCUAAUACCGUAUAACAACCAAAACCACCUGGUUUUGGUUUAAAAGAUGGCUUCGGCUAUCACUUUAGGAUGGACCCGCGGCGUAUUAGCUUGUUGGUAAGGUAACGGCCUACCAAGGCAAUGAUACGUAGCCGACCUGAGAGGGUAAUCGGCCACAUUGGGACUGAGACACGGCCCAAACUCCUACGGGAGGCAGCAGUAGGGAAUCUUCCACAAUGGACGAAAGUCUGAUGGAGCAACGCCGCGUGAGUGAUGAAGGGUUUCGGCUCGUAAAACUCUGUUGUUGGAGAAGAACAGGUGUGAGAGUAACUGUUCACAUCUUGACGGUAUCCAACCAGAAAGCCACGGCUAACUACGUGCCAGCAGCCGCGGUAAUACGUAGGUGGCAAGCGUUGUCCGGAUUUAUUGGGCGUAAAGCGAGCGCAGGCGGUUUCUUAGGUCUGAUGUGAAAGCCUUCGGCUUAACCGGAGAAGUGCAUCGGAAACCAGGAGACUUGAGUGCAGAAGAGGACAGUGGAACUCCAUGUGUAGCGGUGAAAUGCAUAGAUAUAUGGAAGAACACCAGUGGCGAAGGCGGCUGUCUGGUCUGUAACUGACGCUGAGGCUCGAAAGCAUGGGUAGCGAACAGGAUUAGAUACCCUGGUAGUCCAUGCCGUAAACGAUGAG